UACGUAGGGUGCGAGCGUUGCCCGGAUUUAUUGGGCGUAAAGAGCGUGUAGGCGGCCAGGUAGGUCUGCUGUGAAAACUCGAGGCUCAACCUCGAGACGUCGGCGGAAACCAUCUGGCUAGAGUCCGGAAGAGGAGAGUGGAAUUCCUGGUGUAGCGGUGAAAUGCGCAGAUAUCAGGAAGAACACUCGUGGCGAAGGCGGCUCUCUGGGACGGUACUGACGCUGAGACGCGAAAGCGUGGGGAGCGAACAGG
Molecule: ribosomal RNA, 253 nt
Filed under: uncultured bacterium
Lineage: Bacteria
Description: partial 16S ribosomal RNA
Rfam family: Bacterial small subunit ribosomal RNA
Source: RNAcentral